Tachyglossus aculeatus (Australian echidna) is the source of this 652-nucleotide long non-coding RNA. RefSeq lists it as uncharacterized. NCBI's taxonomy places the organism in Eukaryota, Metazoa, Chordata, Mammalia, Monotremata, Tachyglossidae. The transcript is spliced from 3 exons. The record is from RefSeq and is a predicted model, not a curated record.
AAAUGGCAAGUGGAGCAGCUUCAGUGCAGGAGCGGCACAGAUACAACAGGAGAAGCAGCAGUGCAGCAGGUGCAACAGCAGGAGCCCACUGCGAGCCCACUGUUGGUGACCUAAGAAGGAGCAAAGGAGUGGCAGGCAGGAGACAUGAGUCCUAAUCCCUGCUCCAUGAGCUAUCUGCUGUGUGACCUUGGAAUCGACUGGGAAUUAGAGUAACCACUAACUGGAGAUGGGCUGGUGCCACGUCUCAACUUCAGAAAGCAAUUUCCGUUUCUCUAGCCAUCAUCUCGAGAGACUGACACAAAGGAAUCGAGGAAGAGAAGCGAAGCCGAGUGACCCAAUGGAAAGCGUAUGGGCCUUGGAGUCAGAGGACCUGUGUUCGAAUCCCACCACCUCCAUUUGCCUGCUCCGUGGCCUUGGGAAAAUCACCUACCAUCUCUAUGUUUCGCUUUCCUCAGCUGUAAAAUGGGAAUUCGGUAUCUGUUCUCCCUCCUGUUUUGACUGUGAGCCUCAUGUGGGACAGGAACUGAUUGUGACCUGAUUCUCCUGUAUCUACCCCAGUGCUUAGGAUGGUGCUGGGCACAAAAUGAGUACUUGACAUAUACCAUUAUUAAUAUUAAAAAGUUAAAAUAAGGAAGUCACUGGUAUUACCAAA